CCUACGGGAGGCAGCAGUGGGGAAUUUUGGACAAUGGGCGCAAGCCUGAUCCAGCCAUGCCGCGUGUGGGAAGGAGGCCUUCGGGUUGUAAACCACUUUUGUCAGGGAAGAAACGGCUUUUUCUAAUACAGAGAGCUAAUGACGGUACCUGAAGAAUAAGCACCGGCUAACUACGUGCCAGCAGCCGCGGUAAUACGUAGGGUGCAAGCGUUAAUCGGAAUUACUGGGCGUAAAGCGUGCGCAGGCGGCUUUGCAAGACAGAUGUGAAAUCCCCGGGCUCAACCUGGGAACUGCAUUUGUGACUGCAUGGCUAGAGUACGGUAGAGGGGGAUGGAAUUCCGCGUGUAGCAGUGAAAUGCGUAGAUAUGCGGAGGAACACCGAUGGCGAAGGCAAUCCCCUGGACCUGUACUGACGCUCAUGCACGAACGACGGUGGGGAGGACGAACGAGGAGUAGUAUACCGUACGGUAGUACCGACCGACCCGUAAACCGACUAGUCUAACGUAGGUUGGUUGGUACGGUCGUUCGUCGUGUUCGUA
RNAcentral lists this ribosomal RNA (539 nucleotides) under uncultured bacterium. RNAcentral's name for it is "bacterial SSU rRNA". It matches the Rfam family "Bacterial small subunit ribosomal RNA", at positions 338 to 861 of the family's 1533-position model. The record is from RNAcentral.